RNAcentral lists this ribosomal RNA (250 nucleotides) under uncultured bacterium. Its description in RNAcentral is "partial 16S ribosomal RNA". It matches the Rfam family "Bacterial small subunit ribosomal RNA", at positions 779 to 1031 of the family's 1533-position model. The record is from RNAcentral.
UAGAUACCCUGGUAGUCCGCACGGUAAACGAUGGAUGCCCGUUGUCAGGCUGUUUCAGCCUGGUGACCAAGCGAAAGCAUUAAGCAUCCCACCUGGGGAGUACGCCGGCAACGGUGAAACUCAAAGGAAUUGACGGGGGCCCGCACAAGCGGAGGAACAUGUGGUUUAAUUCGAUGAUACGCGAGGAACCUUACCCGGGCUUGAAUUGCAGACGAACGAUUCAGAGAUGAUGAGGCCCUUCGGGGCGUCU